UACGUAGGGCGCAAGCGUUGUCCGGAAUUAUUGGGCGUAAAGAGCUCGUAGGCGGCUUGUCACGUCGGAUGUGAAAGCCCGGGGCUUAACCCCGGGUCUGCAUUCGAUACGGGCUAGCUAGAGUGUGGUAGGGGAGAUCGGAAUUCCUGGUGUAGCGGUGAAAUGCGCAGAUAUCAGGAGGAACACCGGUGGCGAAGGCGGGUCUCUGGGCCGAUACUGACGCUGAGGAGCGAAAGCGUGGGGAGCGAACAGG
Molecule: ribosomal RNA, 253 nt
Filed under: uncultured bacterium
Lineage: Bacteria
Description: partial 16S ribosomal RNA
Rfam family: Bacterial small subunit ribosomal RNA
Source: RNAcentral